UACAGAGGGUGCAAGCGUUAAUCGGAGUUACUGGGCGUAAAGGGCGCGUAGGCGGAUAUCUAAGUCGGUUGUGAAAUCCCCGGGCUUAACCUGGGAAUUGCAGUCGAUACUGGGUGUCUAGAGUAUGGUAGAGGAAAGUGGAAUUCCCGGUGUAGCAGUGAAAUGCGUAGAUAUCGGGAAGAACACCAAGGCGAAGGCAGCUUUCUGGACCAAUACUGACGCUGAGGCGCGAAAGCGUGGGGAGCAAACAGG
This 252-nucleotide ribosomal RNA is filed under the name uncultured bacterium. RNAcentral's name for it is "partial 16S ribosomal RNA". It matches the Rfam family "Bacterial small subunit ribosomal RNA", at positions 524 to 776 of the family's 1533-position model. The record is from RNAcentral.